AACUGGGAUGUGAGCAGGGAGGUGGGGGUGAGCUGGGUCUCUGCCCCUCUAAGCAAAGCCCUCUCUGCCCCAUGCUGCAGGUGCUGGCGUGACCACCCAGGACAUCUGCAGCGCUCCAGGACUGCAGGAGCAUGGAGGUGGGUCCCAAAAAUUAACGUGUUCUGGGGAAACAGAUGGAAAGAAAGAAGGGGAUUAUUCCCUCACAAUUCCCCCUGGAAACCCCAAGACAGCAGACUCCUCCAGCCUUGGCAUGCAGUUGGUUUUGCCACCCGGCAGUCACUAACUCUUGCCUGGGGAAUCCCUCUCCCUUCUCUCCAGGUAACGACCAGACUCCAGUCCUGUACCUCAACGCUUCCAGUGCCAAGGAAGGGGAAAUAAUUCUCUUUCAGUGUGCCAUUGAUGGGCAGUUUCCUGCUACGCGAGUUGUCUUCUGCAAGAAUGGGCAGGAGGAGUUCAGCCUGAAAGCCCAGCAGGGCAAGGUCAUCUAUGCUCUGGUCCUGAACAUCACCUCGAGAAGUGCUGGGACGUACAAGUGUGGGUACCAGCAGAGGAACGAGAGCAACUGGGUGAGGAACUCUGCUCUCAGUGCUCCCCAGACCUUGUCUGUGGCAGGUGCAGGUGAUGGUGAGACCACCACUGAUAUCCAGAGCUCCCCAGGUGAGGACAAGCAUGAGGGUGUGCCAGCUGCACGGGCAUGUCCUGCUCCCUACCUCUCCCCAUCACAGCCCGCUGCCCUCACACCCACUGUCCCCUGACUCCCCAUGCCCGGCUCCCGCACACCCUCUCCACAGCCAUGGUGCUUGCAGUGGUGCCUCUCAUCCUCAUCCUCCUGGGUACAGGCAGCUGGUUUAUCAUCAGGAAAGGUGAAGGAGUGGGGGAAGGCCAGGGAAAGGCUGAGGACCUGGGGGUCCUGCUGUGGGGCUGGUGCAGUGGGAAAGGUGGUGGGGGGAACCUGGGGGUGCACGGCUGGGGGAGACGGUGCCUGGGGGUGAUGUCUGUGGGCAGCCCAGCUGGGGAGGCUGCUGAGGGAGCUGGGGAGCUUCAGCCUUUGUCCCCCAGCCCCGAGACUGGAGCCAGGACUGG
This 1083-nucleotide long non-coding RNA is filed under the name Anas platyrhynchos platyrhynchos (common mallard). RNAcentral's name for it is "lncRNA (ENSAPLG00000018396.1)". The record is from RNAcentral. Lineage: Eukaryota; Metazoa; Chordata; Aves; Anseriformes; Anatidae.